Molecule: ribosomal RNA, 2802 nt
Filed under: Escherichia coli
Lineage: Bacteria; Pseudomonadati; Pseudomonadota; Gammaproteobacteria; Enterobacterales; Enterobacteriaceae
Description: partial 23S ribosomal RNA
Rfam family: Bacterial large subunit ribosomal RNA
Source: RNAcentral
GGGUUGUGAGGUUAAGCGACUAAGCGUACACGGUGGAUGCCCUGGCAGUCAGAGGCGAUGAAGGACGUGCUAAUCUGCGAUAAGCGUCGGUAAGGUGAUAUGAACCGUUAUAACCGGCGAUUUCCGAAUGGGGAAACCCAGUGUGAUUCGUCACACUAUCAUUAACUGAAUCCAUAGGUUAAUGAGGCGAACCGGGGGAACUGAAACAUCUAAGUACCCCGAGGAAAAGAAAUCAACCGAGAUUCCCCCAGUAGCGGCGAGCGAACGGGGAGGAGCCCAGAGCCUGAAUCAGUGUGUGUGUUAGUGGAAGCGUCUGGAAAGGCGCGCGAUACAGGGUGACAGCCCCGUACACAAAAAUGCACAUGCUGUGAGCUCGAUGAGUAGGGCGGGACACGUGGUAUCCUGUCUGAAUAUGGGGGGACCAUCCUCCAAGGCUAAAUACUCCUGACUGACCGAUAGUGAACCAGUACCGUGAGGGAAAGGCGAAAAGAACCCCGGCGAGGGGAGUGAAAAAGAACCUGAAACCGUGUACGUACAAGCAGUGGGAGCACGCUUAGGCGUGUGACUGCGUACCUUUUGUAUAAUGGGUCAGCGACUUAUAUUCUGUAGCAAGGUUAACCGAAUAGGGGAGCCGAAGGGAAACCGAGUCUUAACUGGGCGUUAAGUUGCAGGGUAUAGACCCGAAACCCGGUGAUCUAGCCAUGGGCAGGUUGAAGGUUGGGUAACACUAACUGGAGGACCGAACCGACUAAUGUUGAAAAAUUAGCGGAUGACUUGUGGCUGGGGGUGAAAGGCCAAUCAAACCGGGAGAUAGCUGGUUCUCCCCGAAAGCUAUUUAGGUAGCGCCUCGUGAAUUCAUCUCCGGGGGUAGAGCACUGUUUCGGCAAGGGGGUCAUCCCGACUUACCAACCCGAUGCAAACUGCGAAUACCGGAGAAUGUUAUCACGGGAGACACACGGCGGGUGCUAACGUCCGUCGUGAAGAGGGAAACAACCCAGACCGCCAGCUAAGGUCCCAAAGUCAUGGUUAAGUGGGAAACGAUGUGGGAAGGCCCAGACAGCCAGGAUGUUGGCUUAGAAGCAGCCAUCAUUUAAAGAAAGCGUAAUAGCUCACUGGUCGAGUCGGCCUGCGCGGAAGAUGUAACGGGGCUAAACCAUGCACCGAAGCUGCGGCAGCGACGCUUAUGCGUUGUUGGGUAGGGGAGCGUUCUGUAAGCCUGUGAAGGUGUACUGUGAGGUAUGCUGGAGGUAUCAGAAGUGCGAAUGCUGACAUAAGUAACGAUAAAGCGGGUGAAAAGCCCGCUCGCCGGAAGACCAAGGGUUCCUGUCCAACGUUAAUCGGGGCAGGGUGAGUCGACCCCUAAGGCGAGGCCGAAAGGCGUAGUCGAUGGGAAACAGGUUAAUAUUCCUGUACUUGGUGUUACUGCGAAGGGGGGACGGAGAAGGCUAUGUUGGCCGGGCGACGGUUGUCCCGGUUUAAGCGUGUAGGCUGGUUUUCCAGGCAAAUCCGGAAAAUCAAGGCUGAGGCGUGAUGACGAGGCACUACGGUGCUGAAGCAACAAAUGCCCUGCUUCCAGGAAAAGCCUCUAAGCAUCAGGUAACAUCAAAUCGUACCCCAAACCGACACAGGUGGUCAGGUAGAGAAUACCAAGGCGCUUGAGAGAACUCGGGUGAAGGAACUAGGCAAAAUGGUGCCGUAACUUCGGGAGAAGGCACGCUGAUAUGUAGGUGAAGUCCUUUACUCAUGGAGCUGAAAUCAGUCGAAGAUACCAGCUGGCUGCAACUGUUUAUUAAAAACACAGCACUGUGCAAACACGAAAGUGGACGUAUACGGUGUGACGCCUGCCCGGUGCCGGAAGGUUAAUUGAUGGGGUCAGCGCAAGCGAAGCUCUUGAUCGAAGCCCCGGUAAACGGCGGCCGUAACUAUAACGGUCCUAAGGUAGCGAAAUUCCUUGUCGGGUAAGUUCCGACCUGCACGAAUGGCGUAAUGAUGGCCAGGCUGUCUCCACCCGAGACUCAGUGAAAUUGAACUCGCUGUGAAGAUGCAGUGUACCCGCGGCAAGACGGAAAGACCCCGUGAACCUUUACUAUAGCUUGACACUGAACAUUGAGCCUUGAUGUGUAGGAUAGGUGGGAGGCUUUGAAGUGUGGACGCCAGUCUGCAUGGAGCCGACCUUGAAAUACCACCCUUUAAUGUUUGAUGUUCUAACGUGGACCCGUAAUCCGGGUUGCGGACAGUGUCUGGUGGGUAGUUUGACUGGGGCGGUCUCCUCCUAAAGAGUAACGGAGGAGCACGAAGGUUGGCUAAUCCUGGUCGGACAUCAGGAGGUUAGUGCAAUGGCAUAAGCCAGCUUGACUGCGAGCGUGACGGCGCGAGCAGGUGCGAAAGCAGGUCAUAGUGAUCCGGUGGUUCUGAAUGGAAGGGCCAUCGCUCAACGGAUAAAAGGUACUCCGGGGAUAACAGGCUGAUACCGCCCAAGAGUUCAUAUCGACGGCGGUGUUUGGCACCUCGAUGUCGGCUCAUCACAUCCUGGGGCUGAAGUAGGUCCCAAGGGUAUGGCUGUUCGCCAUUUAAAGUGGUACGCGAGCUGGGUUUAGAACGUCGUGAGACAGUUCGGUCCCUAUCUGCCGUGGGCGCUGGAGAACUGAGGGGGGCUGCUCCUAGUACGAGAGGACCGGAGUGGACGCAUCACUGGUGUUCGGGUUGUCAUGCCAAUGGCACUGCCCGGUAGCUAAAUGCGGAAGAGAUAAGUGCUGAAAGCAUCUAAGCACGAAACUUGCCCCGAGAUGAGUUCUCCCUGAC